GCCCGGGUGGUGGAAUUGGUAGACACAGGAGACUUAAAAUCUCCCGACUUCACGGUCGUAGCGGUUCAAGUCCGCUCCCGGGCACCA
RNAcentral lists this transfer RNA (87 nucleotides) under Spongiibacteraceae bacterium. Its description in RNAcentral is "tRNA-Leu". It matches the Rfam family "tRNA". From Rfam's summary of the family: Transfer RNA (tRNA) molecules are approximately 80 nucleotides in length. Their secondary structure includes four short double-helical elements and three loops (D, anti-codon, and T loops). The record is from RNAcentral. Lineage: Bacteria; Pseudomonadati; Pseudomonadota; Gammaproteobacteria; Cellvibrionales; Spongiibacteraceae.